This 509-nucleotide long non-coding RNA is filed under the name Brassica napus (rape). Its description in RNAcentral is "long non-coding RNA (BNAP_LNC000466)". Lineage: Eukaryota; Viridiplantae; Streptophyta; Magnoliopsida; Brassicales; Brassicaceae. The record is from RNAcentral.
AUAAAAAAAAGAUUCAAAUGUUAUUAUUCAAAGGUGGUUAUCACUCAAGAACAAGGAACUUGAUCAUUAUGCAAAAUUUAUCUAAGAUUAGAAGCAACUCAUGCAUACAUAGAUUCAUUCUCAUCAUUCUACCAUUUUCCUAAGUGAUUACAAGUUCCACCCUUUUAUCAUCAUCUCAAACCAAAAUAAAACCCACUCACAUCACUCACCCAAUGAAAAACUCUCUUUUUCUUUUCACUCAACUAACUAGGGACUUUAAUUCAUUUUCUUUACAACACUUAGCUCUAACUCUUUCUCAUUUCCUUCCUCACCUUCUCUUUGAUUCUUUUCUCUUUUUUUUUUUUUAUAAGGGGGAAGGUUCUUUUGUACAUAAUCUAGAGCUUCAUACUUUCCUUUUUGUCCCUAGAGUUUUCUUUUCUAUUGACACUCUUUUGUUCAUCUCUCACAUAUUUCUCACUCCUCAAACCCAAUAUAUUGAAAUUUAGACCACACAAACCCCUCUCACCAUC